This 328-nucleotide ribosomal RNA is filed under the name uncultured eukaryote. Its description in RNAcentral is "partial 18S ribosomal RNA". It matches the Rfam family "Eukaryotic small subunit ribosomal RNA", at positions 1470 to 1796 of the family's 1831-position model. The record is from RNAcentral.
CCCUUAGAUGUUCUGGGCCGCACGCGCGCUACACUGACUACUUCAACGAGUUGUUUCCUUGAUCGAAAGGUCUGGGUAAUCUUUGAAAGGUAGUCGUGAUGGGGAUAGAUCCUUACAAUUUUUGAUCUUCAACGAGGAAUUCCUAGUAAACGCAAGUCAUCAGCUUGCAUUGAUUACGUCCCUGCCCUUUGUACACACCGCCCGUCGCACCUACCGAUUGAAUGGUCCGGUGAAUCUUUAGGACUGUGGCUGAGGCCUUGCCUUGUGCGGGUCUGGCCGUGGGAAUUUAGUUAAACCUUACCAUUUAGAGGAAGGUGAAGUCGUAACA